GACGAACGCUGGCGGCGUGCUUAACACAUGCAAGUCGAACGGAAAGGCCCUGCUUUUGUGGGGUGCUCGAGUGGCGAACGGGUGAGUAACACGUGAGUAACCUGCCCUUGACUUUGGGAUAACUUCAGGAAACUGGGGCUAAUACCGGAUAGGAGCUCCUGCUGCAUGGUGGGGGUUGGAAAGUUUCGGCGGUUGGGGAUGGACUCGCGGCUUAUCAGCUUGUUGGUGGGGUAGUGGCUUACCAAGGCUUUGACGGGUAGCCGGCCUGAGCGGGUGACCGGCCACAUUGGGACUGAGAGACGGCCCAGACUCCUACGGGAGGCAGCAGUGGGGAAUAUUGCACAAUGGGCGGAAGCCUGAUGCAGCAACGCCGCGUGCGGGAUGACGGCCUUCGGGUUGUAAACCGCUUUCGCCUGUGACGAAGCGUGAGUGACGGUAAUGGGUAAAGAAGCACCGGCUAACUACGUG
RNAcentral lists this ribosomal RNA (468 nucleotides) under uncultured bacterium. Its description in RNAcentral is "partial 16S ribosomal RNA". It matches the Rfam family "Bacterial small subunit ribosomal RNA", at positions 28 to 507 of the family's 1533-position model. The record is from RNAcentral.